GUGACGCAGGACAACGCCUGCCACGCGUCGGAACUCGGCCGCGGGACAUCCACGGGGCGCGAGUGACACACGGGAGGGAGAGCAGUGUUCUGCUGGAGCCGAUGCCAAAAACCAUGCAUUUCUUAUUCAGAUUCAUUGUUUUCUUUUAUCUGUGGGGCCUUUUUACUGCUCAGAGACAAAAGAAAGAGGAGAGCACCGAAGAAGUGAAAAUAGAAGUUUUGCAUCGUCCAGAAAACUGCUCUAAGACAAGCAAGAAGGGAGACCUACUAAAUGCCCAUUAUGACGGCUACCUGGCUAAAGACGGCUCGAAAUUCUACUGCAGAUAAACCUCUACUUGCAAAGGGAAUUUGAAAAAGAUGAGAAGCCACGUGACAAGUCAUAUCAGGAUGCAGUUUUAGAAGAUAUUUUUAAGAAGAAUGACCAUGAUGGUGAUGGCUUCAUUUCUCCCAAAGAAUACAAUGUAUACCAACACGAUGAACUAUAGCAUAUUUGUAUUUCUACUUUUUUUUUUAGCUAUUUACUGUACUUUAUGUAUAAAACAAAGUCACUUUUCU
Molecule: small RNA, 554 nt
Filed under: Pan troglodytes (chimpanzee)
Lineage: Eukaryota; Metazoa; Chordata; Mammalia; Primates; Hominidae
Description: processed transcript
Source: RNAcentral